This 211-nucleotide unclassified non-coding RNA is filed under the name uncultured Polyporales. Its description in RNAcentral is "sequence contains ITS1". The record is from RNAcentral. Lineage: Eukaryota; Fungi; Basidiomycota; Agaricomycetes; Polyporales.
UUGAACAAUCAAACCAAUGUGGGCAAGUUGUAGCUGGCCUCUCGGGGCAUGUGCACACUUGUCUGCAAUUGUUCUCCAUCCACCUGUGAACAUUUUGUAGAUUUGCGAAGCUUAUGAGGAGGGGCAACCUUCCGAAAUAAUGAUUUGCGGUCUAUGUUUUAUAAACUCCAAUGAAAGUCAAAGAAUGUCUUGUUAUAUUCAAAUACAAAUA